GGGCCGGUGGUCUAGCGGUAUGACGCUACCCUCACACGGUAGAGGCCGAGGGUUCGAAUCCCUCCCGGCCCA
Molecule: transfer RNA, 72 nt
Filed under: Candidatus Pelearchaeum maunauluense
Lineage: Archaea; Thermoproteati; Nitrososphaerota; Candidatus Caldarchaeales; Candidatus Calditenuaceae
Description: tRNA-Val
Rfam family: tRNA
About the family: Transfer RNA (tRNA) molecules are approximately 80 nucleotides in length.
Source: RNAcentral